Molecule: long non-coding RNA, 408 nt
Organism: Oryzias melastigma (Indian medaka)
Lineage: Eukaryota; Metazoa; Chordata; Actinopteri; Beloniformes; Adrianichthyidae
Exons: 2
Source: RefSeq, a predicted model, not a curated record
CCUACCUGCUCCAGGAUGUCUCCGAAAGCCAUACUUUAGCAGAGAUCCGGCCGCCGAAUUGUCAAAGCACCAGUGAGUUGGUGGUUCUACGGCGUUCAGUGCAGCAAAAUCUGUCAGAAAAAGAUGAAAGCUGUCAGAGAGCAGAGAUGACACCAUGACGGAGUCCAGCACCAGCUCACCUCUGCAGGUCCGCUCUGAGAGCAGCUGGAACAUGUCUGCAGCGGCUUGACUUAUCAGUUUCUCUCACAUCAACGGGAAAGCUGUGAAGUUCACGAAUGCUGCUCGCUGAGCUUCAAGGUGUGAACGUCCAGAAGAAUGAGCGGAGACACACGGCGUUUUGGGAGUGUGACUGAGCGCUGCCUUUUCUGGCACAGAUUUCGUCUUAGCAUUUCCUGAUUUGAAGAUAAA